AUUUGAGAGUUUGAUCCUGGCUCAGGACGAACGCUGGCGGCGUGCCUAAUACAUGCAAGUCGAACGAACUCUGGUAUUGAUUGGUGCUUGCAUCAUGAUUUACAUUUGAGUGAGUGGCGAACUGGUGAGUAACACGUGGGAAACCUGCCCAGAAGCGGGGGAUAACACCUGGAAACAGAUGCUAAUACCGCAUAACAACUUGGACCGCAUGGUCCGAGUUUGAAAGAUGGCUUCGGCUAUCACUUUUGGAUGGUCCCGCGGCGUAUUAGCUAGAUGGUGGGGUAACGGCUCACCAUGGCAAUGAUACGUAGCCGACCUGAGAGGGUAAUCGGCCACAUUGGGACUGAGACACGGCCCAAACUCCUACGGGAGGCAGCAGUAGGGAAUCUUCCACAAUGGACGAAAGUCUGAUGGAGCAACGCCGCGUGAGUGAAGAAGGGUUUCGGCUCGUAAAACUCUGUUGUUAAAGAAGAACAUAUCUGAGAGUAACUGUUCAGGUAUUGACGGUAUUUAACCAGAAAGCCACGGCUAACUACGUGCCAGCAGCCGCGGUAAUACGUAGGUGGCAAGCGUUGUCCGGAUUUAUUGGGCGUAAAGCGAGCGCAGGCGGUUUUUUAAGUCUGAUGUGAAAGCCUUCGGCUCAACCGAAGAAGUGCAUCGGAAACUGGGAAACUUGAGUGCAGAAGAGGACAGUGGAACUCCAUGUGUAGCGGUGAAAUGCGUAGAUAUAUGGAAGAACACCAGUGGCGAAGGCGGCUGUCUGGUCUGUAACUGACGCUGAGGCUCGAAAGUAUGGGUAGCAAACAGGAUUAGAUACCCUGGUAGUCCAUACCGUAAACGAUGAAUGCUAAGUGUUGGAGGGUUUCCGCCCUUCAGUGCUGCAGCUAACGCAUUAAGCAUUCCGCCUGGGGAGUACGGCCGCAAGGCUGAAACUCAAAGGAAUUGACGGGGGCCCGCACAAGCGGUGGAGCAUGUGGUUUAAUUCGAAGCUACGCGAAGAACCUUACCAGGUCUUGACAUACUAUGCAAAUCUAAGAGAUUAGACGUUCCCUUCGGGGACAUGGAUACAGGUGGUGCAUGGUUGUCGUCAGCUCGUGUCGUGAGAUGUUGGGUUAAGUCCCGCAACGAGCGCAACCCUUAUUAUCAGUUGCCAGCAUUAAGUUGGGCACUCUGGUGAGACUGCCGGUGACAAACCGGAGGAAGGUGGGGAUGACGUCAAAUCAUCAUGCCCCUUAUGACCUGGGCUACACACGUGCUACAAUGGAUGGUACAACGAGUUGCGAACUCGCGAGAGUAAGCUAAUCUCUUAAAGCCAUUCUCAGUUCGGAUUGUAGGCUGCAACUCGCCUACAUGAAGUCGGAAUCGCUAGUAAUCGCGGAUCAGCAUGCCGCGGUGAAUACGUUCCCGGGCCUUGUACACACCGCCCGUCACACCAUGAGAGUUUGUAACACCCAAAGUCGGUGGGGUAACCUUUUAGGAACCAGCCGCCUAAGGUGGGACAGAUGAUUAGGGUGAAGUCGUAACAAGGUAGCCGUAGGAGAACCUGCGGCUGGAUCACCUCCUUU
RNAcentral lists this ribosomal RNA (1565 nucleotides) under Lactiplantibacillus plantarum. RNAcentral describes it as "Lactobacillus plantarum 16S ribosomal RNA". It matches the Rfam family "Bacterial small subunit ribosomal RNA". The record is from RNAcentral. Lineage: Bacteria; Bacillati; Bacillota; Bacilli; Lactobacillales; Lactobacillaceae.